Molecule: ribosomal RNA, 500 nt
Filed under: uncultured bacterium
Lineage: Bacteria
Description: bacterial SSU rRNA
Rfam family: Bacterial small subunit ribosomal RNA
Source: RNAcentral
GAUCCUGGCUCAGGAUGAACGCUAGCGGCAGGCUUAAUACAUGCAAGUCGUGGGGCAGCAGGUUUGUAGCAAUACAGAUGCUGGCGACCGGCAAACGGGUGCGGAACACGUACAGAACCUUCCUUUGAGCGGGGAAUAGCCCAGAGAAAUUUGGAUUAAUACCCCAUAGUAUAAUGAAGUGGCAUCACUUUAUUAUUAAAGAUUUAUCACUCGAAGAUGGCUGUGCGGCUGAUUAGGUAGUUGGCGGGGUAAAGGCCCACCAAGCCUGCGAUCAGUAACUGGUGUGAGAGCACGACCAGUCACACGGGCACUGAGACACGGGCCCGACUCCUAUGGGAGGCAGCAGUAAGGAAUAUUGGUCAAUGGAGGCAACUCUGAACCAGCCAUGCCGCGUGGAGGAUGAAGGUCCUCUGGAUUGUAAACUUCUUUUAUAUGGGACGAAAAAGGCUUUUCUAAGUCGUCUGACGGUACCAUAUGAAUAAGCACCGGCUAACUCCGUG